RNAcentral lists this ribosomal RNA (484 nucleotides) under uncultured bacterium. RNAcentral describes it as "partial 16S ribosomal RNA". It matches the Rfam family "Bacterial small subunit ribosomal RNA", at positions 29 to 507 of the family's 1533-position model. The record is from RNAcentral.
AUUGAACGCUGGCGGCAUGCUUUACACAUGCCAGUCGAACGGCAGCGCGGGCUUCGGCCUGGCGGCGAGUGGCGAACGGGUGAGUAAUACAUCGGAACGUGCCCAGUAGUGGGGGAUAGCUCGGCGAAAGCCGGAUUAAUACCGCAUACGACCUGAGGGUGAAAGCGGGGGAUCUUCGGACCUCGCGCUAUUGGAGCGGCCGAUGGCAGAUUAGCUAGUUGGUGGGGUAAAGGCCUACCAAGGCGACGAUUUGUAGCUGGUCUGAGAGGACGACCAGCCACACUGGGACUGAGACACGGCCCAGACUCCUACGGGAGGCAGCAGUGGGGAAUUUUGGACAAUGGGCGAAAGCCUGAUCCAGCAAUGCCGCGUGUGUGAUGAAGGCCUUCGGGUUGUAAAGCACUGUUGGCGGGAACGAAAAGGACUGUGCCAAUACCACGGUUCGAUGACGGUACCCGCAGAAUAAGCACCGGCUAACUACGUG